RNAcentral lists this ribosomal RNA (467 nucleotides) under uncultured bacterium. Its description in RNAcentral is "partial 16S ribosomal RNA". It matches the Rfam family "Bacterial small subunit ribosomal RNA", at positions 29 to 507 of the family's 1533-position model. The record is from RNAcentral.
ACGAACGCUGGCGGCGUGCUUAACACAUGCCAGUCGAACGGAAAGGCCCUGCUUUUGUGGGGUGCUCGAGUGGCGAACGGGUGAGUAACACGUGAGUAACCUGCCCUUGACUUUGGGAUAACUUCAGGAAACUGGGGCUAAUACCGGAUAGGAGCUCCUGCUGCAUGGUGGGGGUUGGAAAGUUUCGGCGGUUGGGGAUGGACUCGCGGCUUAUCAGCUUGUUGGUGGGGUAGUGGCUUACCAAGGCUUUGACGGGUAGCCGGCCUGAGAGGGUGACCGGCCACAUUGGGACUGAGAUACGGCCCAGACUCCUACGGGAGGCAGCAGUGGGGAAUAUUGCACAAUGGGCGGAAGCCUGAUGCAGCAACGCCGCGUGCGGGAUGACGGCCUUCGGGUUGUAAACCGCUUUCGCCUGUGAUGAAGCGUGAGUGACGGUAAUGGGUAAAGAAGCACCGGCUAACUACGUG